Molecule: non-coding RNA, 1374 nt
Organism: Plectropomus leopardus (leopard coralgrouper)
Lineage: Eukaryota; Metazoa; Chordata; Actinopteri; Perciformes; Serranidae
Source: RefSeq, a predicted model, not a curated record
UAUAUUAUUUUAGGUUUUGGCUUCUCACAAUCUUAAAAUGUCAGGUGGUGCAACUGUCCAAGCAAGUGAGCAGGCUAAGAAAACUAUAAAAAAUGUAAUAUUAAUUAGUAAAGAGGUAAAAUAAAAUACUUUGGCAUUGUUUUAUGUUUUAAGUCUUUUGGAAAAUGUUUUUUUUUCUCAUAUUAAUAGUUUUAAAGCUUUUAAAAUAACUGCUAAACUUUUGUCCGGCAAUUAACAUUUCCUAAAUGUCAGGGUGGCGCAACCAUAAACAUUGGACUUUUAUUUUGAAGUGAAGAGACAAUAGCUGUAAACAGGAUGUUGCAUUAGCCAGGAGACCCCAAGAGACCCUUGGGACUAAGCUAAAAGGUUUGUAGAUCUCUGUCAAAUACUGAUAAAAAUAACUACUUUUAACUCAUAUGUAGGCUGGUACGCUUUCCAUGUCAGGUGGUACAACCAGUGUAAAACUAGAAACAUAUUAUUUUAUCAUAAAACUCUUCAUUUUUUAAGAAAGUGGUCUGUUUGAACUUCAUGACAAGGGUAGAAGCUAAUGCUAGCUAACAAACAAGAGCCUGUUUAAUUUGAGGUUAGUUGCAAUUGUCAGGUGGUGCAACCAGUUAGUCAGGUGGCACAACUGUAAGGAAUGUCUCUAUAUAAUGCUAUACAAAGCUCUAAGAUUAUCCAUGAGACUUUUAAAAUGUUUACUAGUUUUUAUAUUUAAAGAUAUUAUACACUUUAAAACAUUUUACAUGAUAAUUUGUACAUUUUAGAUGCCACUAUCAACUAAAGAAAAAUCAGCACGACAUCGGGCACGCAUUAAAAAUGAUCCGGCUGCAAGGGAAGCAUAUCUGGCAAAAAGAAAAGAGAGUUAUCAGAGGAGGAAGAGAGAGGGAAAGAUUGUGAAGCCCCCCAUCAGCCAACUGUCUAAGCAAAAAAAAAGAAAAAAAAUGAGGCAACAGUGGAGGCAAGAUCAUGGAGGGUUCAUCAUGGUGAAUUACGAAGGUCAGCCAUUUGUGGGGCAGGUCCUUCAAGUGGUUGGGGAAGAGAUUGAGGUGAGCUGCAUGCAGCAACUGGGAGGAAAAAUUGAUGCAAUGCAUUCACUUGGCCCCAACGUGCUGACAUCAUUUUUUUCUACGCAGCUGAAGUGCUCAGAGUGAUUGCAGAGCCAGAGCCUCUCAAUUCAUGACACACACGUCUAACGUAUUCUGACUGGGAAUACUUCAAUACACAAAAACUGAGUUGAGAUACUGUCUACUAAUGUUGACCCAACAACUCAGAAAACGUUCCGGUUUUGUUAAAUGAUACUUCAUUGUUGCCAUUUAGAAUAGUGUUAUAGUUAGUGUUGUAUCGAAUGUAGUCUUAUGUGAAGUGUUGUUG